GCCGCUUUAGCUCAGUCGGUAGAGCGUUUCACUCGUAAUGAAAAGGUCGCGAGUUCGAUUCUCGCAAGCGGCUCCA
This 76-nucleotide transfer RNA is filed under the name Corynebacterium sp. Its description in RNAcentral is "tRNA-Thr". It matches the Rfam family "tRNA". From Rfam's summary of the family: Transfer RNA (tRNA) molecules are approximately 80 nucleotides in length. Their secondary structure includes four short double-helical elements and three loops (D, anti-codon, and T loops). Lineage: Bacteria; Bacillati; Actinomycetota; Actinomycetes; Mycobacteriales; Corynebacteriaceae. RNAcentral also lists the same sequence under 4 other names. The record is from RNAcentral.